This 381-nucleotide ribosomal RNA is filed under the name Triticum aestivum (bread wheat). RNAcentral describes it as "partial small subunit ribosomal RNA". Lineage: Eukaryota; Viridiplantae; Streptophyta; Magnoliopsida; Poales; Poaceae. The record is from RNAcentral.
AUGACGGCGACGGGCCUUCGGCUCGCUUCAAUGCUUGUAGUCAUUGCUAGGUGGUUUACGGACCUAGAUGUAAUUUUUAUCAUUUCUGACGUUCAUUGUAUUGCCAUGAGUGUAAAGAUGAAUAGAUUUGAAGUUUUCUCCUUAAAAAAAAUCAACUGGGCACGGGAGGAUGAGCAGCAUCCAUCCAUCGACCGAAACCAAUCCUGGAUGGAUUCCGGGGAAGGGAAAAAGAAGCGGGCGAGACAGGCUGAUGCGGCCCUCACGUUGGGAGAUCUCCAAAGGCUGCUCCGAAUUCGGCAUAUGCGUGGUGCUACGCUACGCCUCAUCAUCAUGUCACAUCACAACUUGCAAAUUAAGCAGCAUUUCGUAGCAACCCCAUGA